This 415-nucleotide ribosomal RNA is filed under the name Pseudomonas sp. H5-4-f. RNAcentral's name for it is "bacterial SSU rRNA". It matches the Rfam family "Bacterial small subunit ribosomal RNA", at positions 236 to 643 of the family's 1533-position model. Lineage: Bacteria; Pseudomonadati; Pseudomonadota; Gammaproteobacteria; Pseudomonadales; Pseudomonadaceae. The record is from RNAcentral.
UCGGAUUAGCUAGUUGGUGAGGUAAUGGCUCACCAAGGCGACGAUCCGUAACUGGUCUGAGAGGAUGAUCAGUCACACUGGAACUGAGACACGGUCCAGACUCCUACGGGAGGCAGCAGUGGGGAAUAUUGGACAAUGGGCGAAAGCCUGAUCCAGCCAUGCCGCGUGUGUGAAGAAGGUCUUCGGAUUGUAAAGCACUUUAAGUUGGGAGGAAGGGCAGUGAGCGAAUACCUUACUGUUUUGACGUUACCGACAGAAUAAGCACCGGCUAACUCUGUGCCAGCAGCCGCGGUAAUACAGAGGGUGCAAGCGUUAAUCGGAAUUACUGGGCGUAAAGCGCGCGUAGGUGGUUUGUUAAGUUGAAUGUGAAAGCCCCGGGCUCAACCUGGGAACUGCAUCCAAAACUGGCAAGCUA